GACGAACGCUGGCGGCGUGCUUAACACAUGCAAGUCGAACGGGCCUGUCUUCUUUUUUGGGGGUGGGUUGAGUGGCGAACGGGUGAGUAUCACGUGAGUAACCUGCCCUUCGGUCCUGGAUAACCGCUUGAAAGGGCGGCUAAUACGGGGUGGUCCGGUUGGUCCGCAUGGGCUGGUCGGGAUAGAUUCACUGUUUUUGGUGUUUCGGCGGGGGAUGGGCUCGCGGCCUAUCAGCUUGUUGGUGGGGUGAUGGCCUACCAAGGCGGUGACGGGUAGCCGGCCUGAGAGGGUGGGCGGCCACACUGGGACUGAGAUACGGCCCAGACUCCUGCGGGAGGCAGCAGUGGGGGGUAUUGCACAAUGGGCGGAAGCCUGGUGCAGCGACGUCGCGUGAGGGAUGGAGGCCUUCGGGUUGUGAACCUCUGUUUCCGGUGGUGAAGGCCCUGUCCGUGUGGUGGGGUUGACGGUAGCCGGGGAUGAAGCGCCGGCUAACUACGUG
Molecule: ribosomal RNA, 499 nt
Filed under: uncultured bacterium
Lineage: Bacteria
Description: partial 16S ribosomal RNA
Rfam family: Bacterial small subunit ribosomal RNA
Source: RNAcentral